Molecule: ribosomal RNA, 1233 nt
Filed under: metagenome
Description: SSU rRNA
Rfam family: Eukaryotic small subunit ribosomal RNA
Source: RNAcentral
GAUUUUUUAUCUUACUCUAUUGCAAUGAGGCAUGUUUAAUAACCUGUUCGAGCAACCAGUGAAGGGCAAGUCUGGUGCCAGCAGCCGCGGUAAUUCCAGCUUCACGAGUGUAUAUUUAAGUUGUUGCAGUUAAAAAGCUCGUAGUUGAACUUCUGUUUGUUCAGGAGGCGUGCAAGCGCAGCCUGGGCGAACAUCCGCCUGAAAAAUCAUUCGGGUCUUCACUGAUUCAGUGAUGGAUCAGGCAUUUUACUUUGAAAAAAUUAGAGUGUUCAAAGCAGGCUUUCGCCUGAAUACAUUAGCAUGGAAUAAUAGAAUAGGACGCUGUUCAAUUUGUUGGUUAUUGAAUUGCGUAAUGAUUAAUAGGGACAGUUGGGGGCAUUUGUAUUUAAUUGUCAGAGGUGAAAUUCUUGGAUUUAUUAAAGACAAACUUAUGCGAAAGCAUUUGCCAAGGAUGUUUUCAUUAAUCAAGAACGAAAGUUAGAGGAUCAAAGACGAUCAGAUGCCGUCCUAGUUUUAACUAUAAACUAUGCCGACUCGGUCUCAGUCAAGUCUUCCUAACUUGAUUGGUGCCGUAUGAGAAAUCAAAGUCUUUGGGUUCCGGGGGGAGUAUGGUCGCAAGGUUGAAACUUAAAGGAAUAGACGGAACAUCACUACCAGGUGUGGAUCCUGCGGCUUAAUUUGACCCAACACGGGGAAACUUACCAGCGCAAAACAAGGGUGGGAUUGACAGAUUGAGAGCUCUUUCUUGAUUCUUUGGAUAGUGGUGCAUGGCCGUUCUUAGUUGGUGGAGUGAUUUGUCUGCUUAAUUGCGUUAACGAACGAGACCUCAACCUACUUACUAGACGCGUGAUUAAUUCAUCGCGUGUUCUUCUUAGAGGGACUGUGCGGAGACAAACGCAAGGAAGUUUGAGGCAAUAACAGGUCUGUGAUGCCCUUAGAUGUGCUGGGCCGCACGCGGGAUACAAUGACCCGUUCAGAAAGUAUAACCUGACCCGGAAGGGAGUGGGUAAUCUUUUUAAUGCGGGUCGUGCUAGGGAUCGAUCUUUGCAAUUAUAGAUCUUGAACGAGGAAUACCUAGUAAGUGCAAGUCAUCAGCUUGUACUGAUUACGUCCCUGGUGUUUGUACUCACCGCCCGUCGCUCCUACCAAUUUCGAAUGAUCCGGUGAACCUUUUGGAUUGGGUGCAAGCCUAAGAAGUUAAGUAAACCUUAUCAUUUAGAGGAAGGAGAAGUC